ACGAACGCUGGCGGCGUGCCUAAUACAUGCAAGUCGAGCGGACGAAUCGAAAGCUUGCUUUUGAUUCGUUAGCGGCGGACGGGUGAGUAACACGUGGGCAACCUGCCCUGUAGACGGGGAUAACACCGAGAAAUCGGUGCUAAUACCGGAUAACACGAAAUGUCGCAUGACGUUUCGUUGAAAGACGGCGCAAGCUGUCGCUACAGGAUGGGCCCGCGGCGCAUUAGCUAGUUGGUGAGGUAACGGCUCACCAAGGCGACGAUGCGUAGCCGACCUGAGAGGGUGAUCGGCCACACUGGGACUGAGACACGGCCCAGACUCCUACGGGAGGCAGCAGUAGGGAAUCUUCCGCAAUGGACGAAAGUCUGACGGAGCGACGCCGCGUGAGCGAAGAAGGCCUUCGGGUCGUAAAGCUCUGUUGUUAGGGAAGAACAAGUAACGCAGUAACUGGCGUUACCGUGACGGUACCUAACGAGAAAGCCACGGCUAACUACGUG
Molecule: ribosomal RNA, 497 nt
Filed under: uncultured bacterium
Lineage: Bacteria
Description: partial 16S ribosomal RNA
Rfam family: Bacterial small subunit ribosomal RNA
Source: RNAcentral